This 497-nucleotide ribosomal RNA is filed under the name uncultured bacterium. RNAcentral's name for it is "partial 16S ribosomal RNA". It matches the Rfam family "Bacterial small subunit ribosomal RNA", at positions 28 to 507 of the family's 1533-position model. The record is from RNAcentral.
GACGAACGCUGGCGGCGUGCCUAAUACAUGCAAGUUGAGCGAUGAAGAUUGGUGCUUGCACCAAUUUGAAGAGCAGCGAACGGGUGAGUAACGCGUGGGGAAUCUGCCUUUGAGCGGGGGACAACAUUUGGAAACGAAUGCUAAUACCGCAUAACAACUUUAAACAUAAGUUUUAAGUUUGAAAGAUGCAAUUGCAUCACUCAAAGAUGAUCCCGCGUUGUAUUAGCUAGUUGGUGAGGUAAAGGCUCACCAAGGCGAUGAUACAUAGCCGACCUGAGAGGAUGAUCAGCCACAUUGGGACUGUGACACGGCCCAAACUCCUGCAGGAGGCAGCAGUAGGGAAUCUUCGGCCAUGGACGAAAGUCUGACCGAGCAACGCCGCGUGAGUAAAGAAGGUUUUCGGAUCGUAAAACUCUGUUGGUAGAGAAGAACGUUGGUGAGAGUGGAAAGCUCAUCAAGUGACGGUAACUACCCAGAAAGGGACGGCUAACUACGUG